Leptomonas seymouri is the source of this 67-nucleotide non-coding RNA. The record is from Rfam. Lineage: Eukaryota; Euglenozoa; Kinetoplastea; Trypanosomatida; Trypanosomatidae.
ACGCUGCAUCAGUACAGCGACACCAUCUCGCAACAGGUGGUGGUGCCUGCUGGCGAUGCCAGCCAGA